This 465-nucleotide ribosomal RNA is filed under the name Vreelandella stevensii. Its description in RNAcentral is "partial 16S ribosomal RNA". It matches the Rfam family "Bacterial small subunit ribosomal RNA", at positions 338 to 795 of the family's 1533-position model. Lineage: Bacteria; Pseudomonadati; Pseudomonadota; Gammaproteobacteria; Oceanospirillales; Halomonadaceae. The record is from RNAcentral.
CCUACGGGUGGCAGCAGUGGGGAAUAUUGGACAAUGGGCGAAAGCCUGAUCCAGCCAUGCCGCGUGUGUGAAGAAGGCCUUCGGGUUGUAAAGCACUUUCAGUGGGGAAGAAAGCCUUGGGGCUAAUACCCUCGAGGAAGGACAUCACCCACAGAAGAAGCACCGGCUAACUCCGUGCCAGCAGCCGCGGUAAUACGGAGGGUGCGAGCGUUAAUCGGAAUUACUGGGCGUAAAGCGCGCGUAGGCGGUCUGAUAAGCCGGUUGUGAAAGCCCCGGGCUCAACCUGGGAACGGCAUCCGGAACUGUCAGGCUAGAGGGCAGGAGAGGAAGGUAGAAUUCCCGGUGUAGCGGUGAAAUGCGUAGAGAGCGGGAGGAAUACCAGUGGCGAAGGCGGCCUUCUGGACUGACACUGACGCUGAGGUGCGAAAGCGUGGGUAGCAAACAGGAUUAGAUACCCUGGUAGUC